GACCUAACUUCAACAGGACAUAUAUUAAAAUCGGUAUGAUACAGUUUAGCGUGGCCCCCUACACAAGAAUGACAAAUUAAUAAAAUGUUCCAUAAUUUU
RNAcentral lists this small nuclear RNA (99 nucleotides) under Anolis carolinensis (green anole). The record is from RNAcentral. Lineage: Eukaryota; Metazoa; Chordata; Lepidosauria; Squamata; Anolidae.